This is a non-coding RNA of Pelobates cultripes (western spadefoot toad), 253 nucleotides long. Lineage: Eukaryota; Metazoa; Chordata; Amphibia; Anura; Pelobatidae. The record is from the annotation of a GenBank genome assembly.
GUUAGAUGUUAAGUGUCUUAUCUUGAUGUACUUCCUCCAAGGUGUGAUGUCAUCAUUGUCUUUGUGUUUGUGUGUAGCUCCGGAUGGAGACGCCAUCUUGCUACACAAGGGUCUUAGUCGAUGGGAGGGGGUGCUCUAGCAGCCAUUUUGAGUAAUAAAUGAGCACAGGUAUACAUAGUAAAUAGACAUUUUACACACAUUAAUUUCUAUCCAUCACAAUGUCACCGCUGACAAAAAAACACGUCUCUCCCUG